This 445-nucleotide ribosomal RNA is filed under the name uncultured bacterium. RNAcentral's name for it is "partial 16S ribosomal RNA". It matches the Rfam family "Bacterial small subunit ribosomal RNA", at positions 354 to 796 of the family's 1533-position model. The record is from RNAcentral.
GUAAGGAAUAUUGGUCAAUGGACGAAAGUCUGAACCAGCCAUGCCGCGUGGAGGAUGAAGGUCCUCUGGAUUGUAAACUUCUUUUAUAUGGGACGAAAAAAGGCUUUUCUAAGUCGUCUGACGGUACCAUAUGAAUAAGCACCGGCUAACUCCGUGCCAGCAGCCGCGGUAAUACGGAGGGUGCAAGCGUUAUCCGGAUUCACUGGGUUUAAAGGUUGCGUAGGUGGAUUGCCAAGUCCGUGGUGAAAUCUUCGAGCUUAACUCGGAAACUGCCAUGGAUACUGGUGAUCUUGAAUAUCGUGGAGGUUAGCGGAAUAUGUCAUGUAGCGGUGAAAUGCUUAGAUAUGACAUAGAACACCAAUUGCGAAGGCAGCUGGCUACGCGAAUAUUGACACUCAGGCACGAAAGCGUGGGGAUCAAACAGGAUUAGAUACCCGAGUAGUCC